This 870-nucleotide long non-coding RNA is filed under the name Mytilus galloprovincialis (Mediterranean mussel). The record is from RNAcentral. Lineage: Eukaryota; Metazoa; Mollusca; Bivalvia; Mytilida; Mytilidae.
AGGCGACAUAAAGCACGUUUUUUGAAUUUUGAGGAUAAAGGGAUAGAAUUAUUAAUAAACGUAAGUAUAGAUAAAUAAAACUAAAAACGAUAUGUUAUGUAGUUCUUUUGUUUCAGAUUAAUCUUAACAAUUUUACAAAUUGAUUUGAUUUGACAAAUUAGCCCUAUGUAGUUUUUUGGUUUUUUUUAAUUUGAUCGAAUCAUAAUGUCAGAUAUAAUUUAGUAAAACAAUUAUUAUGAAAAGCUGUUUGAGCAAUUUUUGUUAGAGUUUAUCAGUUGAUAUAUUUGAAGUUUAUUCAGUUUGCUUUAUACUGGCAUAAAAAAAUUACAUUUGAAAUGUUUUAUAUAUUAUUGAUACGUCAAGUUCUCGUUUCGUCAAUUUAAAACUAUUCAACAGAAUGUAAGGUGUGUCUUCGCAUAGUAACUGAUUAAUCCUCCAAUAGACAACUGAGUUAUUUCAGAGGAGUUGUUCGCAGAAUGUAACAACUUAAAAAAAAAAAUGUACAUACUUGAUGAUUAUACCCUUUUUGACCCCCGAACACGAUGUUAAAUUAAUGAUAGUUGGUAUCCAGUCGUCCUGGUUUAGUUUUUUGUGUCGGGGGUUGAUAUGCUAAAGGUCUCGAGUUCGAAUACCAGCAUAGACACUGGAUUUUUUUCUACGUAAAUUUUGAUAGAUAGUCUUUUCCGUAUAAAAUUAUUAUAAGUUUUAUAGCUGGUUUCACAUUCCCGCCAAAAUAUUACAGAACAAAGAAAAGCAUGCAAAACAAAGAAACUCAAGUUGGGGUGAUCUGGUAGGGAUGAUCCAGCUCAGAUCACUUCUGGUAUAACAAAGAAGCUUGGAUGUUAACGUACAAAACCAAAGGGAUCGGAC